RNAcentral lists this long non-coding RNA (1907 nucleotides) under Nicotiana benthamiana. RNAcentral's name for it is "long non-coding RNA (NBEN_LNC026857)". Lineage: Eukaryota; Viridiplantae; Streptophyta; Magnoliopsida; Solanales; Solanaceae. The record is from RNAcentral.
CUAUAUUUCCUAAACUCUUUUCUUCUCAUUCUAAAUAUUACUCUCCUUCUCCAACAGUUUGAAUAUCGGAUUUGAGUUUGGAAUCAAAAACUUUUCCAGUCACUGCUCGUGAAUCCGAGGUUCGUCCAUAGUUCCGUUCGCGAGUCCAUUUGAAUUUAAUUACUAUUUCAGGUUCAUCCUUUUCCCACUCUUAUUACUUUCUGAGAUUUUUUUAAGCUUGGUAUUUGGCCGGUUAGUCUUAGUUUAAUUUCUGAUUGGUUUCUUUAGAAACCAUGAAAUGAUUUUUUUCAAUUUGUAUAGUUGUAAUUGUGAGAUGUCAUUUGAUUCGUUUAAGGAAUUUUGUACGCCAAAAGCUUCAAAGCCAUGCCAAAGUUUCUCUUAUCGUUACUGUUUGUAUUUAAUAUACUCACCAUGAGAACUCAAGUUUAACGGUCUGUCUACACGGGAGUUUCAACAUUCAAGGUCUUGAAUUGUUUUCUUUAAUAAGUCAAUUCUCAUAAUCAUUUACGUUAGAAUAUACUAUAAGCCAUGCGUAAUGUAAUACUAUUCUUUAUGAACAAUUAUUAAAUUACUUAUUUAAAUUCAAUAAAGUUUUAUUUUAAAUAGAUCAUGUGUUGGUUUGUGCGUCCAUUGCUUACAUAGUACAUGAUUUAGUAUAUAGAGCUUAGCUUAUACACGGAAGACUGAAUCAUCGGUUCUUGUAAGACAUAGAAGCUAAUGUUCACAAUGUAACGAUGGAAUUGGACAAAUCAACGGAAUGAUUGCAGCACAAGAUUAAAUAUAAUUUAUCUUGAUUAUGAGAAUGGUUUAACUCCAACUUCUUGUGCUAAUAUAUUUUGUAUGUAUCUGCCGCCUGUCAUCAUGCUCAAUCAGUAAUAAGUUGGCUUCACCUCCGGGGAUCAGUCCAGCCUUGUGAAGGGAGAGGACUCUGUGGGCGGAAGCUACUCUGUUAUCUUGCUUUCCUCAUUCGCAUGAGAGACAGACACAUUGUGCACUCAAGAUGAUGAAUGCCAGAUCAAGUAGAGAUGAAUAUUUUAUACUGACUUUAUAAAAUAAUUUAUCUAGUCCAUUUAAUGUAUUUAUACUCUUAGUCCUGAUAUAAUUAUUAUUAGUUGUGUAUGUCACUUGUUGUAUUGAUUUAGUAAAAGGAGAGAUUCUUUCGCGAGUCAAUAAGCCUGGUAAAUUGGAUAACAUUGAUAUACAUUGACGAAGUAAUAAUUAGUUGAUGGAAUCUAUGUCUUGAUUUUGAGAUUGAUGAUACUCCUUUAUGAAAGCUUAUAAGUUUUUUUAUGUGUAAACCGGCCGGUGGAUUUUGUAUCCGACACAUGAAAUAAGUUAAGUGUCAGUCUAAAGGAAGUAAUCGAUAAAUUAAAUAUUCAGUAAUUUAAUUUGAUUGAUUAGUAUAUGAAUCUUUACAUGUGGAUUUAAAUAAGAUUUUAUGGAAGAAUUUCGAAAUUGAGCUAAGGAGUGCAAUUACGAAUUUUUAGUGGAAUAACUCGUAAUUUUUUAUGAUGGAAAUUAAUUUCAGAAUUUUGAAAUUAAUAUCAUUAUAGGAAGCCUUGUUAAUUAAAUUAUGUGGUACCUACUGUGCCUAAAUAAUAGGAAAUAGUGAAAAUUGUUACUGAGUGGGAAAGAAAAUGUGGAAACCGGCCCUUAGUGGGAGAAAGAAACCUAAGAGGCUUUGAAAUCGGUUUUGACCUAAAAAACGCAGCUAUACAUAUACAUAUAGGGGCUGGACGUUUUUCACACAAUUAUGACUGCGGUUUCUACUAGAAUUUUUUCCACCCAAAAUUCUCUAUUUUUGGUUAUUAUUUGGGUAACACAGUAGAAAACUGUGGAAAGAUGCUGGUGCUUUUUCAACCGAGGAACUGGAGAACGACAUAGAUUUAUUGUGUUUACGCUUCAAG